UUAUUCCAUUACAGAUGACAACGAAGUACAAGGCAUGGCAAUCCAAGUGAAGAUAAGCUACAAGUGAUCCUAUAUACACAAAUUAAUCGAGAGGCUUGUAUCACCAAGGCAUGAAUCUUUUGGUGAAUUUGAAGGUUGAAGAUUUGGCACUAAUCUCUGCGUGGUUGCUUGUCGAUCCAGCCAAUGGAGUAGCUGAAUUUGAUAUCUCUCUGGCUGGUUCAGUCUCCUCACAAUGCUCAUUGCUUUCUCCUCUGUGACCAUAUCAAUCACUCUAAAACAUUAGCAUAUUGGAUCAAUCCAACCAAUUCGACACUCUAAAAGUUCUCGAGAGUAUUACCUUUGAUCUGGCUGUCGAUUUGACCAAAGGUGAACCAUCUGGUUUGAUAUCUCUCUGGCUGAAAAUUCUGGCAUCUUGAGCUUUUCUAACCUCGGAUCUUUGUAUUUGCAAGAAAUUCCUGCAUUCCCAGCCUUUUUUGGAUGCUCUGUCUGUUUUGCAGAGACGGUCUCCCAUCCAUCCAACUCACUCUCGGUACAGCCCUUUUUUCCCUUCAGAACACCAUCGAGUGAUUUGUUUGUUGAUGUCAGCCAAUUCUCCUCUAGAAUAGAUCCUUUAUGCGACCUAGAUGCUUGGUCAUGCUGCAAUAACACAUUGCACGAGAUCAAGUGUAAAGAGGGAAUAAACAAGCCAUUCGCAUUUUUGCAGGAAUAACAAGGGGAGGAAUAGUGAAUCUUUGUUCCCUUGGUGGUCAAUCAUUUAUGGCAGCUUAAACUUUCGAGAAAAGAAAAAACUAAACAAUUUGUCUAACACGGUUAAUUAGUCAUUGCAUUCUGCUAGUCUUUUCUAUCUUGUCCAAAAGUACAAAAUGGGUGCCAUUAACUCAAACCACCCAGGUAAUUUUAAAAAAGCACAAUGUCAAAAAAAUUAAUACUUAGACACAAUGGGUAUAGAACCUUCUUUUACCUUUGCUAUGGCUAUUGAUUCAUCCAAAGGUAUAUAUACUGAUUUACUAUUUCUGGCUGCCAGAUCUUCCUUUCUAAACUUUUCAAGUCUCGGUUGUUCACCUUUGCAGUAAUUUCUUACACCCUCAUGCCUUCUUGGAAGCUCCGUAUGUUUUGUGGAGGAGACAUGUAAGCUGUCACACUUAUUCUUGUCGAAGCCUUUCUUUUUGUGCGGAGGAGCAACUCCAUUGAGAGGUUCAACUGUUCCAAUUCGCACAUUAUCCACUAGCGCAACAUGUUCAUUAUGCAACUGCAACAAGACAUUGCAUGAAUGAGAUCAACUGUAUCAGAAGAAAUAACUAAGGUGUAGUGCACGCUCAAUCUCCUGACCCAUGGGGGCUUUCAUUUUAGAAGUGCAUGGAGCCUGCUACAUUUUGAGCUUUUCACUUCUUUGUGAUGACCAUCUUUGAUGUAUCGUGCUACUUUGGUUUAUGUUACAAGGAAGCAACAGAAAAUGAAGAAACAAACAACAUGCUUCUCUUACCUUUGCUUUGGCAGCCGGGUCAUCCAAUAAUACACAGUUUGGUUUGAUAUUUCUGGCUGCAAGUUCUUGCUUUUUGACCUCAAAAAACCCCAUCUUAUCACCUUUGCUAUAAAUUCUUACAGUUGCAGGCUUUUCCAGAGGAUCCAUACGUUUUGGGGGAAAGACAUUUGAGCAGUUGGACUCAUUCCCAUCAAAGCUUUUCUUUUCCUCUGGAAGAACUUCUCCACAUCCACAAGGUAGUUCAAUUGCUAGUGUUUGCCCAGUCUCCUCCAUAGCAUUUUUGUUCUGUGAGCUAGAUGUUUGGCCAUGGAGAGUUUCAAUUGUUGGUGUCUGCCAAUUCUCCACCAUAGCAUGAGCAUUACGUGAGCUGGAUGUUUGGCCAUACUGCAACCAACAUAUUGCUUGAGAUCAAUUGAACCAGAGGAGCUGACUAAGGCAUGAUCCUGGUCUUAUGACAAACAUUAGUGGUUUCAUUUCUAAAGUUGUCUGGAAGCUAUAUUACAUUAUGAUUUUCCGCUUCUUUGCAUGGUCUUGUUUGUUAUUUCGGGGCAUUAACAAGCAAAUCCCAAUAAGCACGUUUUGCAAAACUAACCAGUGGAGGAACCAUGGAAAUCUUUGUGCAGUCAGUGAUUGUUCCUCUCAAGUUAGGCAUUGAAUUUGGUUUCUCUAUGGCUAGUUCAAUUCCUUUGUUGUGAUUGUUCUGUGGUGAUUUUGAUGCAGCACGGUGCUCUCUGCUUUCUCCUAACUCCCAAUGUUUGUAAAACAUUCUAUCUUAUAUGCUUAUACAGAAGCAAAUAAUUAAAUCAACUGGAGACUCUUGAAACUUAGAAUUGUCCUAGUCUUUUAUUUCGAAUUUCGCUAAGAAUAUGAAAACCUUGCCAUUAACUUUACCAGCAAACUCAAUGCAAAAAAUCCUAACUUGAAAUUAAUAAUAAGACAUUACGAGUGAAUUUAGAAGCUUGUUUCACCUUUACUUUGGCUUCUAAUUCAUCCAGAGUAACACAUUCUGGUUUGAUAUUUCUGGCUGCAAGUUCCAGCUUCUCCACCUUUUCGACCCUCGAUUCUUCAUCAGUGCUGUAAGUUCUUGCAAUUUCAGGCUUUUUUGGAGGCUUCAUAUGCUUCGGGGAGGAGAUAUGUAACCCAUUGAACUUAUGUUCAAUGAACCCUUUCUUUUCAUCUAGUGAAACUACACCAUGGAGUGAUUCGAUCAUUUUUGCUCGCUGACUCUUCAUCAGAACAGCAUGUUCAUCAUCUGAGCUACAUUUUGGGCCAUACUGCAAUGCAGGAGAAACACAUCGAAGGAAAAUAAAUGGCUGAGGCAUAAUCUUAAACAGUAAAGCUCAUGACGAACAUCCAAAUUUUCAUUUAAAAUGUGUCUGGAAGCUGUAUUAUAUGUUGAUAUGUUCCGCUUCACUUCUCUGAUGUGAUAUUAUUUAAUCUGGCAACAUUCUUCUUUGGCGGUUUUUUUGCCAUUCUGGUACCUAUCCAAUUGAAGGCUAAUAGGGCACGAGGAAUUUCCCUGAAAUCUCUCUUUUCUAUGUAAGUUUUUCUUCUCUAAAUUUAAUAAAGGUGAACAAGCUGUAUAACCAACCGAAACUUCAGGAGCAGAAUUUUGACCUGUGUUUGAAUUUGAUCUCUGUCAAUGUAGCCGACUUGCAACUGGUUGGAUUCAUCAAUAUAAACAACUACAUCAUCAUCCCACGAGAGGUCCGCAAAAGAUGGACUUCCGAUAUUUCUAACAUGUAAGUCGGUUUGGGAGUCAACAUUUUCUGAUUGGAAAGAAGCCUGCGGGAGAAUUGAUGUAAUGACUUGAACUCGGUUGUCCUGCUGAAGUGAGGGCUCCGUUGCUGAGUCUACCAGAAUCCAUGACUGUUUUGAAAAGUAAAUAGGUUAAUUAUGGACAUACUUCACAAAUCAUGUCCAUGAACAAAACAUUUUUUUCGUUCUCACUUCUGGACAGGAGUUCUCAUGUUCAGGUUGACGAAAGUCUGACUGCAAGUCAACCAAGCUAAUUGAUGAGUUUUCCACUGCCUGAAUCAAAGGCUGUUUUCAAAAGUAAAAAAGGCUAGUUAUGGACAUGCUUCACAAAUUAUACCAUGAACAGAACAUUUUUUUCAUUCUCACUUCCGGAAAUAAGUUCUCAUGUUCAGGUUGAUGAAGGUUUGUAUCCAAGUCAUCCAAGCUAAUUGAUGAGUUUCCAACUGCCUCACUCCAUGUCUGUUUUCAAAACAAGGAAGAUUAGUAUGGAACAUGCUUCACAAAAUAUGCCCAUGAACAGAACAUUUUUUCUUUCUCACUUCUGGAAAUGAGUUAUUGUGUUCAGGUUGAUGAAGGCCUGAAUCCAAGUCCAUCAAGCUAAUGGCUCCACCAUUUAAUUGCUGGGCUGAAAAAUCAGACUCUUCAUUUCCUUGGUGCUUUAAGUGACAGACGACGUAGUUCUUGGUCCGCUGUCAAACAAUCAUGUUAUUGGAAUCCAUAAGACCUAAUCUCAUACUACUUAAAUUCCAGAAUCCUACUCCAUUACAAACUUCGACAAUGGAAAAUGAGGAAGAACAGAAUCAUUGCUUUUGGCUAAUUGAAACUUUUGAAUUGGAUGGUUCUGCAGAUUAUUACAAUACUCAAAUGAAUGUAGUAAACCAGAAGAAAUGAACGAGGGACUGAUUGCAUACAGCAUGUGGAAACAGUUCAUUGAGAUUGUUGGUCAGUAGAUGAUACUCGUGGAUGACCCAUUUGGUCCCGAUGCCCCUUUUGCCGUGACCCCUAUGAAAGACCAGUGUUUUCUUAGUACCAAUCUUUCUGUUCCUGUCUCCAGCCUUGAUAGUCCUAUCAAUACCAGUCUUCUUCCAAAAUCCCAAUGGAGUCGAUCUUUGAAUUCGUGGCGUUUGUGGACAGAAGAACCACCACUCUUGAACUUUGUCGUCAGGAGGAACGAUUGAUUUCUCUGUCAAGUACAAUUUGAAUCUAAUUAAUGAUGAACUUAUCCCUUUCUUUUCCUACGGCCAAAAGAUGCAUAGUGAACUGUACACAGUCAAACUUCGAUUCCAUCAGCAAAUUCCGCAAAACAUUCACUGAUUCAUAGACUAUUUUACUGCGAUCGUCACAGAACUCUAGGACAACAUGAUGCCUCAUUUAUAAGUACGAGGUAUCCAUUACGAUGCCAUAACUGGCGAAAAACGGACAGGAAAAAAUGAUAGCAGCGUCUCGUUCUUUACCCUCGAAUAUUUUUGGUAAUUCCCAAGGCUCCCACUUGCAGAUAUCGACCUCGGGAAUGAUGCAUAUGUUGCCUCUGGAUCCGAGCACUUUCAGCUUCAAGUAAUGAUCGACCAAUUCCUCAUCGGUCGGGUGGAACCUGUAUCCGAUCGGCAGAUUGUUUGGGAUGAUCACAGCUGCCAUCUUCUUCUACUUCUGUUACUUCCCUCGCGCGAGGGCGAAUUUACCAAAGUUCUGGGAAAACAGAAUGAACGAGCUUCAAGGCCUCGCGCUUUAAGUCUUCAUCAAAGUCUUUCCCUUCUCUGAGAAGUUGCCUCAUUUUUUUUUCUGCUCUUUUGGGUUUGCCGGUGGAAUUCCACCCUAUCGCUUAAGGACUUUUCAAAGAUUCUCCUAUCGCUCUCAAACGUCACACUAUCCACUAGAACUCUGUCCUAACUUUCUGCAUCACGUAGAAAGCCUUUGUUAUUUAUUUUCUCUUUAUUGACAAAAGUAUAAACAAUGUAAUUAUAAUACCUUGACCAAGUCAAGAGUGGUUCUGGAGAAAAAAGAAAGAAAGGAUAAGAAAAGAAAUAGCUUGAAAAGUCUACAAAAGGGGAAAAAUUGGUGCGUUGAGAUGUCAUUUUUAAAAAAAAUAACGAUAUUUUCUGGUGUUGGCUCAAAUGGGUUGGAAAUCCUUUCUCACCCUUUGGUAUGGAAAUGGCUUUUUGCCUAUGGAUUUUACUUCCAAAUGACUUGCUAGGCUGAUGGUGGUUUUUGAGAUCUAGUUUACUUACUUUUCCUGGUCCAGCUCACAAUUUCCCAUUUCCUCUUUCUUUCUUCCUCCUCUGCUUCCCUCUUUUCUUCUUCCUUCCUGUUUAUGUUGCGGCACUGUGAAGUCCAACGCCUCAAAUCCAGUCGCAACCCAACAACGGUGGCCAUGGGAUUAGCUUAGAAGUCGAUCUUGAUCUCUAAGGUGAUUUCGAUGUAUUAGCCUUAUAAGUGUAGAUCUUUGAUAUUAGGUAUGUCUGAAGAGGAAUAAAGCAUUUCACAUUGAUAGUUGGCUCAUAACUCCUUUGAAUUAGGGCUCCGACUAUAGCCCCCGUCUCGGAUAUAUCCACAAGAUGAGAUAUCGAAUGCUUGCUGCUCAUCCCAAUAUUGACUAGCUAUAGCCAUACGUAGCUGACCAUGAGUAGUAGUACGCUUGAUGGGCGUGUGCCGAUCAUAGACCACGGGCUCCUACAUGGGCCACACUUCAAUUGUUGACAUUCAUCUAUUUUGGUAGGUAACAUGCGUCGACAAGAAUUUCACGUCGUGUGCGUCAUAUUUGCCAAUUCUCUUCCUUCAACAUGUCUUGACCUGACAAAAAUUUCACUUUUGCUCAUUGUUAUUUACUUAGCUUCGGCUUGGUUUGUUAAAAAUUAGUGCUUCUGAAAAACAUUUUCAGAGAACUCAUUUUUUUUAUAAAAGUAACAAUAUUUAUAGUGGUCGCAUGAAAUUGAGUUGGAAAUCAUUUCUCACCCUUUUUCAUGGAAAAUGGCUCUUUGCUUAUGGAUUUUCCUUCCAAAUGACUCUCACUAGACUGAUGGUGGGUUUUGAGAUUUGUCACACCCCAAAACCAACAAGGGGUAUGACAACAUGAGAAACUUUUAAUCCAACUAUUUAAUAUACAUAUAUAAUCAUAUAUGUGUUAUUUCAUUUCAACAAAUUUUAUUCAAUUUUGAAAAUGCUCAUUUAAAUCAUCCUCACAAUUCAAGCAUCAAUGAUCAAAUUUAUUGAUUAAUCUCUAAUCAAAAACCAUAUAAAUGGUCUAUUCAUAAUCCAUCUUAUAUCAAAAUAUACGCCGAUGGUCUAUCCAUUAAAUAAUCUUUUACUUAAUAGCAAACCAUGAUCACGACAGUGACAACACAACGCCUACUGACAAGGCAAUCAAGAUUCUUUCCUUGGUAAGGUCUCCACUUACAAAUUCAAUGGCUUGACCCAAAAAGAUAUCUUAAACCUUGUAUGCAUACCCACAAGCCUAUCAAUGGACCAACAUCGAUAUUGAACACCAAACCUACAUCCUCCAAUAUCUAGAAAUACAAUCCAUAAAUUAAUCUCAUAAUCCACAUUACAUUUCACAAACCAAUCAUAUAACCUUUGUAAUUCAAUUCAUCUGAAAUUAAUAGUUUUUUUGUAAGCAUUUACAUAUUAUUUCAUAAACCGAAUUCACAAAUUGAUAUGUACAACCUUUUGUAAUGUUUUUCAUAAAAUGCUUCUUAAAUUAUCUUAUAACACAUUCCAUAAAACAAUUCGCAAAGCUAUACAUAUAUAUUAUUUCACAAUACCUUUCAUAAAACCACUCUCGAAUCAUUCUCAAAUAUUAAAAGGGAGUAAUUGUCUAAUCCAGACUUUUAAACAAUAAACAUGCUUGAUUACUCGUAAGAUACUUAAAUCUUUAUCUCUUUCAAGACAUGAGUUUACAAAUCCAUAAAAGAGAUAGCAUUACUCACUUGGAUGUGCCCUUAACCAAAUAACAAGGCACAAUCAAAUUAACGAACUCUCAAUCCUAUCAUAUAAGCAAGAAAUAACAUCAAAACUAAGAGAAACGCUAUAUCAAUUAUGGCACGGCCAAACUAAGCCUAAAUGCCAAUAAAAUAACUCUCACGCAUCAACAAAUCGCUUACUUGAAGCAAUUAUUCAAAUCUAAAUGUAACGUAAAACUUGCUCACAAAACUCUAAAAUUUCGUUCCGACAAAACCGUUGCUUCAAAUGACCAUCAAACCCACUACUUAAAAAUUGGAUUANNNNNNNNNNNNNNNNNNNNNNNNNNNNNNNNNNNNNNNNNNNNNNNNNNNNNNNNNNNNNNNNNNNNNNNNNNNNNNNNNNNNNNNNNNNNNNNNNNNNCAGCUCAAGUUUCCCAAAAUUCCAAUUUCAAGCCUAAACUCAAAACUAUUUGUUGACAUCUGAAUUUUUGUCAACGUUUUAAAUAUCCAUUUAUUUUUCAAAAAUAUAAAAAUUUAUAAAAAAACAGUAAUAAAUGAUAAAAAAAAAAUGAUGAAGUCGUGUGGGCCGUUAUGUCUGGUCCACUUAGCGACUUUCAGCCCUCUAAGGGUGCAUUUGAUCAGUAUUCCCAAAGGGCUUUCAGUCUCUAAAGCCCCUUAAGAAAAUGCUGGACCGUUUGGUAGUCAUUUUGAAAUAACUUUUAAGUGAAAGUCAGUAUUGGAAAAGCUAAAAGCCCAAUGCUAAUAGGAACUAGCUUUGGGCUUUCAGUAUUUUGCCAAAUGCUGAAACUUAUUUUUUUCUUCCAAAAUUAUCUUCACUCAUUCUUUAAAUUUUUUAUUCUGCCAUCGUUAUUAUUUUUAAAAAAACCAAAUAAUGCUAAAAAAAUCACACACACACACACACAGAUAUAAAUUCUAAAACAAUUAAAUAUAUUAGGUCUUCUAAAAAAAUUAUUUAUAUAUUUGAUUUUUUUAGCAUAUGUAUUUGAUUUUUUUUAGUAUUAUUGUCAAAAUUUAUAUUUAAAAAGUUGCAUACAUUAUUUUUUUCAAUUCUAAACAAAUAAAAAUUAAAAAAUUCCGACGAAGAGUUUGCUAUUUUUUUUAAAUUAUAUAUAUAUAUAUAUAUAUAUAUAUAUAUGUAUGUAUGUAUGUAUUUGACUUUUUAGCAUUAUUCUCAAAUUUAUAUUUAAAAAGUUACAUACAUUAUUUUUUCAAUUUUAAACAAAUAAAAGUUAAAAAAUUUCGAUGAAGGAUUUGAUAUUUUUUUUAUUAUAUAUGUAUUUGAUAUUUUUUUUUAGCAUUAUUGUGAAAAUUUAUAUUUAAAAAGUUGCAUACAUAAUUUUUUUCAAUUUUAAGAAAAUAAAAAUUAGAAAAUUCUGAUGAAGGGUUUGGUCUUUUAAAAAAAAAAAUUAUAUAUGUGUUUGAUUUUUUUAGUAUUAUUGUCAAAAUUUAUAUUUAAAAAGUUGCAUACAUCAUUUUUUUUUUCAAUUUUAAACAAAUAAAAUUAAAAAUAUAUAAUAUUAAUCAUCCAUAGAGCUUUUCAAAUGUUUUUUCUACCAAAUAACAUUUCUCUCAAAGAUACUUCUCAAAGCAUAGUUUAUCAAACGACUUUUGUAUUUGCCUAAAGUGCUUUAAGCUAAACUGUUUUGUAUUUUCCUAAUAAGCUUUCAAAAUGUUGAACCAAACGCAUCCUAAGCUUGUUCGCCUCUCUUAUCUUCAUUUCUUUCUUGGAAAAAUGUCAUAAAUGGUCCCUAAACUUCUACUUCAUGUGCAAUCUCGUCUCUGAGCUUUCGAUUUGCUCAAUUUGCUCAUUGAACUAUCGAUAAAUGUCUGAUCUAGUCCUGACUAUUUGAAAAUUGACAAAUUUUGUCAUUUCGUUAGUUAAAGUUAACAUAAUUGGACAUUUUGAUCUUUUUUUUUUCUUCUUCUCUCUUCCCUCCACCGACCAUGGCGGAGCCAGCGGAGGGAAGAGAGAAGAAGAAGAAAAAGACCAAAAUGCCAAAUUCUGUUAACUUUAACUAACGGAAUGACGAAAUUGGUUAAUUUUCAAAUAGUCUGGAUUAGAUCGGAUAUUUAUCGAUAGUUUAUGGACCAAAUUGAGCAAAUUGAAAACUCAGGGACGAGAUUACACAUUAAGUAGAAGUCCAUGGACCAUUUGUGACAUUUUCCCUUCAUUUAUAUACAUUUAUAAUGAUAUGCCGUUUAUAUUAAAAAAAUGUAUAUGAUAUGAUGUGAAUAUAUCCAACUUUAAUACUGCGAUUCAUCAAACAAUGAAUAUGAUAUAAAAGAAUCCCAAAAUAUUAUAUCAUAUCUUAUCCAAUCCUAUUUCGAUUAGAAAUUCGGACGACCAAAUGUAGCCUAUGAGAGAAUGUCUUGGGAAUGUGGGGCUAAAGGAAAAAGGUAAGUGGGGUGAGUUGGAUUAAUUGGGUUGGGUUUGAUUUGGUCUCAUGGGCUGGAAUUUGAGUGGACUACUUUUAUUUUCAUGGGCCAGUUGGGGAUCAAUUCAAAGUGGGCCUUGGCGCAUUUUUUGCCCAACCCGCAUCAAUAGGGUCCAGGUUGGUUUGGUUGGGUUGGGUCUCCUAGCCCGGUCCGAAUUUCUUUUAUAUUAAUAUUAAAAAUACUAAUAUUAAUAAAUAAAUUAAAUAAAUUUUAAAAUUCGGAAAAACGUUAAAAUAUUUGAAAAAUAAAGAAUUCAUGAAAAUUUAUAAAAUUCCGAAAACUAUUAAAAGAAUUUAGAAAAUUUAUAAAAUCAUUACAAAUUCAGAAAAUCCUAAGGAAAAAAUCAGAAAUUUUAGAAAAAAAGGAAAAUCCUUUAAAAGUAUUAAAACCCAAAAUUUAGACAAGCCUUUAGAGCUUUACAAUAAGAUUCUUUAUUUUGGAUUAUCUUUUUUUCCGAAUAAUUCUAGGAUGCUUGUGUUUUUCUUUGUGAUUAUACAUGGUUGCCCUUUUCAAUAUCUUGGAUGUCAUAUUCUUUGUUUUCAAAUGGUCGGAACAAAACCUAAAAUUCUUCAAGCGUUAAUCUUAGGACUAACGUAAUCAAGUUUUCAAGUCUAGAAUCUUUAGUUGCACAAAUAAUAAGAUAUUUUCCUAGGGGUCUAGUCGACACCAAAAUUCUAGUGGCCACUCUUUAGUCAAAUUUAUUCAAAGUGAAUAAAAAUUUGAAAAUAUGUGAGGUAUGAGCUUGGGAGAUCCUGCAUCAAUAAAAGGCUAUCAAUCCAAAAUUAAUAAUACCUCUAAAUCUAAAACUCUUUCUUGGAGGUGUUAAGUUGCGACACUAGUUUAACUAGACGAACGAGGGGGCGUGAGUACUUACUAAGUGUUGCAUUAUGUAAUCGAAUCAACUUGACGAUGUCUCAUUGACAUGCACAUAUAAAAACCCAUUUCUCUUCUUGACCCUUUCCUUUCUUCUUUAUUCCCUCUUCCUUUUUCUCAAACCGCUCGUGGCCACUCUAAGUGAGAGAACUCUCGCUUUAUGCCAUUUUCUCUUCUUUUUUUUUUUUUUUACUUUUCAACCAUUUUUUAUUUAAUCAUUGGAUUUAUCCUAGUGGCCACCAUUCCAUUCCAAUAUGGAAGGAGGAGGUAGGGUAUUCAAAUCCCCAUCUUCUCAAAAGUUCAGGUGUAGACAAUUUAAUUUAGUGUGGGUUUCGACUCACAUUUUACAAUGAGACAAGGUAAAAAUUUGAGAAUAAGAGUAUAAAUAAAAUAAGAUCGAUAAAAAAAAAACCCUUUUUAUUUAUUUAUUUUUAAUAGAAAAGGCACCUCCUCUUUGACUUGGUCAAAGAAAAUGUCCCGCUAUUACAAGAUCUAGUCUACUUACUUUUCCUGGUACAGCUCACGAUUUCCCAUUUCCUCUUUCUUUGUUCCUCCUCUUCUUCCCUCUUUCUUCUUCCUUCCUGUUUAUGUUGCAGCACGGUGAAGUCCAACGCCUCAAAUCCAGUCGCAACCCAACGACGAUGGCCACUGGAUUUGCUUGGACGGUUGUUUUCCAGCAAUGUCUGAGGCGGUAAAAGGUUCUUGGUGUUGGUUCAUGGCCUUUGGCAUCGCGGUCUGGUGGCUAUGGAUUCUUGAUGGUGGUUCCAAGCGAUGGCCAGUGGUGGCGGCGUGACGGAUGGUGGACUGCAGCAGACGAUGAUGGCAGUCGAAACGAUGCGGGUAGUGCGAAAAAUGGAAAAUCCACGGCCGAAUUCCAACUUUUCGGUGACGUCAACUAUCACUUGGGUUGGGCCCAAAGGCCUUGCAAGCCCAUAGCAAAUUGCUGGGCUUGGGCUGAGUUCAAUGAUGAGUGGCGGCCGGCGAUGGUGACGCUGAGGUGGUGGCAUUGUGUGUUUAAUGUUUACAGAGAAGACAGACGGUGGUGAACGAUGGUGUGCUGCCAUGGGAGAAGUGGCAGCGCUUCAGCUUGUUUAGAGUGUUGACAAUCGCGUUAGGUGCAAUUUGAUCUGCACAUGGUGCGCAUAGCUGAGAUGCAGAAUUCAUCGUCAACCAUAAAUGAAGUACGAAGUAAAAAAAAAUGCUUCAGCAUGUUUCGAUUUGUAAAAACAAUUUUAAUGCAAUGACAGAGGUUUGCAGAUUGAUAGCUCUGUCAGAAGAAGCUUCUCGGUUCAGUUUAUCACUUCCGAAACUGGUGAAAGCUUUUAGCAAGAGUUUCCAUUCCAUUUCAGAUGACAACAAAGUACAAGGCAUGGCUAUCCAAAUGAAGAUAAGCUACAAGUUUUCCUUUAUACACAAAUUAAUCGAGAAGUUUGUAUCACCAAGGCAUGAAUCUUUUGGUGAAUUUGAAGGCUGAAGAAUUGGCAGAAAUCUCUGCGUCGUUGCUUGUUGAUCCAGUCAAUGGAGUAGCUGAAAUUGAUAUCUCUCUGGCUGGUUCAGUCUCCUCACAGUGCUCAUUGCUUUCUUCUCUGUGACUAUAUCAAUCACUCUAAAACAUUAGCAUAAUGGAUCAAUCCAACCAAUUCAAUACUCUACAAGUUCUCAAGAGUUUUACCUUUGAUCUGGCCGUCGAUUUGACCAAAGGUGAACCAUCUGGUUUGAUAUCUCUCUGGCUGAAAAUUCUGGCAUCUUGAGCUUUUCUAACCUCGGAUCUUUGUAUUUGCAAGAAAUUCCUGCAUUCCCAGCCUUUUUUGGAUGCUCUGUCUGUUUUGCAGAGACGAUCUCCCAUCCGUCCAACUCACUCUCGGUACAGCCCUUCUUCCCCUUGAGAACACCAUCGAGUGAUUUGUUUGUUGAUGUCAGCCAAUUCUCCUCUAGAAUAGAUCCUUUAUGCAACCUAGAUGCUUGGUCAUGCUGCAAUAAUACAUUGCACGAGAUCAAUUGUAAAGAGGGAAUAAGCGAGCCAUUCGCAUUUUUGCAGGAAUAACAAGGGGAGGAAUAGUGAAUCUUUGUUCCCUUGGUGGUCAAUCUUUUAUGGCAGCUUAAACUUUCGAGAAAAGAAAAAACAAAACAAUUUGUCUAACACGGUUAAUUAGUCAUUGCAUUCUGCUAGUCUUUUCUAUCUUGUCCUAAAGUACAAAAUGGGUGCCAUUAACUCAAACCACCCAAGUAAUUUUAUAAAAGCACGAAGUCAAAAAAAUUGAUACUUAGACACAAUGGGUGUAGAAGUUUCUUUUACCUUUGCUAUGGCUAUUGAUUCAUCCAAAGGAUUAUUUACUGAUUUAAUAUUUCUGGCUGCCAGAUCUUCCUUUCUAAGCUUUUCAAGUCUCGGUUGUUCACCUUUGCAGUAAUUUCUUACAUCCUCCAUAGCAUUUUUGUUCUGUAAGCUAGAUGUUUGGCCAUGGAGAGUUUCAAUUGUUGGUGUCUGCCAAUUCUCCACCAUAGCAUGAGCGUUAACUGAGCUGCAUGUUUGGCCAUACUGCAACCAACAUAUUGCUUGAGAUCAAUUGAACCAGAGGAGUCGACUAAGGCAUGAUUCUGGUCUUAUGACAAACAUUAGUGGUUUCAUUUCUAAAAUUGUCUGGAAGCUAUAUUACAUUAUGAUUUUCCGCUUCUUUGCAUGGUCUCGUUUGUUAUUUCAGGGCAUUAACAAGCAAAUCCCAAUAAGUACGUUUUGCAAAACUUACCAGUGGAGGAACCAUGGAAAUCUUUGUGCAGUCAGUGAUUGUUCUUCUCAAGUCAGGCAUUGAAUUUGGUUUCUCUAUGGCUGGUUCAAUUCCUUUGUUGUGAUUGUUCUGGGGUGAUUUUGAUGCAGCACGGUGCUCUCUGCUUUCUCCUACCUGCCAAUGUUUGCAAAACAUUCUAUCUUAUAUGCUUAUACAGAAGCAAAUAAUUAAAUCAACUGGGGACUCUUGAAACUCGGAAUUGUCCUACUCUUUUCUUUUGAAUUUCGCUAAGAAUAUGAAAACCUUGCCAUUAACUUUAACAGAAAACUCAAUGCAGAAAAUCCUAACUUGAAAUUAAUAAUUAGACAUUAUGAGUGAAUUUAGAAGCUUGUUUCACCUUUGCUUUGGCUUCUAAUUCAUCCAGAGUUACACAUUCUGGUUUGAUAUUUCUGGCUCCAAGUUCUAGCUUCUCCACCUUUUCAACCCUUGAUUCUUCAUCAGUGCUGUAAGUUCUUGCAAUUUCAGGCUUUUUUGGAGGCUCCAUAUGCUUCGGGGAGGAGAUAUGUAACCCAUUGAACUUAUGUUCAAUGAACCCUUUCUUUUCAUCUAGUGAAACUACACCAUGGAGUGAUUUGAUCAUUUUUGCUCUCUGACUCUUCCUCAGAACAGCAUGUUCAUCAUCUGGGCUACAUUUUGGGCCAUACUGCAAUGCAGGAGAUGAAACACAUCGAAGGAAAAUGAAUGGCUGAGGCAUAAUCUUAAACAGUAAAGCUCAUGAUGAACAUCCAAAUUUUCAUUUGAAAUGUGUCUGGAAGCUGUAUUAUAUGUUGAUAUGUUCCGCUUCACUUCUCUGAUGUGAUAUUAUUUAAUCUGGCAAUAUUUUUCUUUGGCAGUUUUUUUGCCAUUCUGGUACAUAUCCAAUUGAAGGCUAAUAGGGCAUGAGGAAUUUCCCUAAAAUCUCUCUUUUCUAUGUAUGUAUUUCUUCCCUAAAUAUAAUAAAGGUGAACAAGCUGUAUAACCAACGGAAACUUCAGGAAUAGAAUUUUGACCUGUGUUUGAAUUUGAUCUCUGUCAAUGAAGUCAACUUGCAACUCGUCGGAUUCAUCAAUAUAAACAACUAAAUCAUCAUCUGCAAGACUUCCAAAAUUUCUAACAUGUAAGUCGGUUUGGGAGUUGACAUUUUCUGAUUGGAAAGAAGUCUGCGGGAGAAUUGAUGUAAUGACUUGAACUCCAUUGUCCUGCUGAAGUGAGCUCUCCGUUCCUGAGCCUACCAGAAUCCAUUGCUGUUUUGACAAGUAAAUAGGUUAAUUAUGGACAUACUUCACAAAUCAUGUCCAUGAACAAAACAUUUUUUCGUUCUCACUUCUGGACAGGAGUUCUCAUGCUCAGGUUGACGAAGGUCUGACUGCAAGUCAACCAAGCUAAUUGAUGAGUUUUCCACUGCCUGAAUCAAAGGCUGUUUUCAAAAGUAAAAGAGGCUAGUUAUGGACAUGCUUCACAAAUUAUACCAUGAACAGAACAUUCUUUUCAUUCUCACUUCCGGAAAUAAGUUCUCAUGUUCAGGUUGAUGAAGGUUUGAAUCCAAGUCAUCCAAGCUAAUCGAUGAGUUUCCAACUGCCUCACUCCACGUCUGUUUUCAAAACAAGGAAGAUUAGUAUGGAACAUGCUUCACAAACUAUGCCCAUGAACAGAACAUUUUUUCAUUCUCACUUCCGGAAAUGAGUUAUUGUGUUCAGGUUGAUGAAGGCCUGAAUCCAAGUCCAUCGAGCUAAUGGCUCCACCAUUUAAUUGCUGGGCUGAAAAAUCAGACUCUUCAUUUCCUUGGUGCUUUAAGUGACAGACGAGGUAGUUCUUGGUCGGCUGUCAAACAAUCAUGUUGUUGGAAUCCAUAAGUCCUAAUCUUAUACUACUUAAAUUCCAGAACCCUACUCCAUUACAAACUUCGACAAUGGAAAAUGAGGAAGAACAGAAUGAUUGCUUUUGGCUAAUUGAAACUUUUGAAUUGGAUGGUUCUGCAGAUUAUUACAAUACUCAAAUGAAUGUAGUAAACCAGAAGAAAUAAACGAGGGACAGAUUGCAUACAGCACGUGGAAACAGUUCAUUGAGAUUGUUGGUCAGUAGAUGAUACUCGUGGAUGACCCAUUUUGUCCCGAUGCCCCUUUUGCCGUGACCCCUAUGAAAGACCAGUGUUUUCUUAGUACCAAUCUCUCUGUUCCUGUCUCCAGCCUUGAUAGUCCUAUCAAUACCAGUCUUCUUCCAAAAUCCCAACGGAGUCGAUCUUUGAAUUCGUGGCGUUUGUGGACAGAAGAACCACCACUCUUGAACUUUGUCAUCAGGAGGAACGAUUGAUUUCUCUGUCAAGUACAAUUUGAAUCUAAUUAAUGAUGAACUUAUCCCUUUCUUUUCCUACGGCCGAAACAUGCAUAUCUUAUACAGUGAACUGUACACAGUCAAACUUCGAUUCCAUCAGCAAAUUCCGCAAAAUAUUCACUGAUUCAUAGACUAUUUUACCGCAAUCGUCACAGAACUCUAGGACAACAUGAUGCCACGUUUAUAAGUACUAGAUAUCCAUUACGAUGCCAUAACUGGCCAAAAACGGACAGGAAAAAAUGAUAGCAGCGUCUCGUUCUUUACCCUCAAAUAUUUUUGGUAAUUCCCAAGGCUCCCACUUGCAGAUAUCGACCUCGGGAAUGAUGCAGAUGUUGCCUCUGGAUCCGAGCACUUUCAGCUUCAAGUAAUGAUCGACCAAUUCCUCAUCGGUCGGGUGGAACCUGUAGCCGAUCGGCAGAUUCUUUGGGAUGAUCACAGUUGCCAUCUUCUUCUACUUCUGUUACUUCCCUCGCGCGAGGGCGAAUUUACCAAAGUUCUGGGAAAACAGAAUGAACGAGCUUCAAGGCCUCGCGCUUUAAGUCUUCAUCAAAGUCUUUCCCUUCUCUGAGAAGUUGCCUUACGUCAUUUUUUUUUCUGCAUUUUUGGGUUUGCCGGUGGAAUUCCACCCUAUCGCUUAAGGACUAUUCAAAGAUUCUCCUAUCGCUCUCAAAUGUCACGCUAUCCACUAACACUCUGUCCUAACUUUCUGCAUCACGUAGAAAGCCUUUGUCAUUUAUUUUCUCUUUAUUGACAAAAGUAUAAACAAUGUAAUUAUAAUACCUUGACCAAGUCAAGAGUGGUCCCAGAGAAAAAAGAAAGAAAGGAUAAGAAAAGAAAUAGCUUGAAAAGUCUUAAAAAAAGGGAAAAAUUGGUGCGUUGAGGUGUCAUUUUAAAGAAAAAUAACGAUAUUUUCUGGUGUUGGCUCAAAUGGGUUGGAAAUUCUUUCUCACCCUUCGGUACGGAAAUGGCUUUUUGCCUAAUGGAUUUUGCUUCCAAAUGACUUGCUAGGCUGAUGGUGGUUCUUGAGAUCUAGUUUACUUACUUUUCCUGGUCCAGUUCACAAUUUCCCAUUCCUCUUCUUCUCCUCCUCUGCUUCCCUCUUUUCUUCUUCCUUCCUGUUUAUGUUGCGGCACUGUGAAGUCCAACGCCUCAAAUCCAGUCGCAACCCAACAACGGUGGUCACGGGAUUAGCUUAGAAGUCGAUCUUGAUCUCUAAGGUGAUUUCGACGUAUUAGCCUUAUAAGUGUAGAUCUUUGAUAUUAGGUACGUCUGAAGAGGAAUAAAGCAUUUCACGUUGAUAGUUGGUUCAUACCUCCUUUGAAUUAGGGCUCCGACUAUAGCCCCCGUCGCGGAUAUAUCCACAAGAUGAGAUAUCGAAUGCUUGCUACUCAUCCCAAUAUUGACUAGCUAUAGCCAUAAGUAGCUGACCAUGAGUAGUAGUAUGCUUGAUGGGCGUGUGCUGAUCAUAGACCACGGGCUCCUACAUGGGCCACACUUCAGUUGUUGACAUUCAUCUAAUUUGGUAGGUGACAUGCGUCGACAAGAAUUUCAUGUCGCGUGCAUCAUAUUUGCCAAUUCUCUUCCUUCAACAUGUCUUGACCUGACAAAAAUUUCACUUUUGCUCAUUGUUAUUUACUUAGCUUCGGCUUGGUUUGUUAAAAAUUAGUGCUUUUGAAAAACAUUUUCAGAGAACUCAUUUUUUAUAAAAAUAACAAUAUUUAUAGUGUUCGCAUGAAAUUGAGUUGGAAAUCAUUUCUCACCCUUUUUCAUGGAAAAUGGCUUUUUGCUUAUGGAUUUUCAUUCCAAAUGACUCUCACUAGACUGAUGGUGGGUUUUGAGAUUUGUCACACCCCAAAACCAACAAGGGGUAUGACAACAUGAGAAACUUUUAAUCCAACUAUUUAAUAUACAUAUAUAAUCAUAUAUGUGUUAUUUCAUUUCAACAAAUUUUAUUCAAUUUUGACAAUGCUCAUUUAAAUCAUCCUCACAAUUCAAGCAUCAAUGAUCAAAUUUAUUGAUUAAUCUCUAAUCAAAAACCAUAUAAAUGGUCUAUUCAUAAUCCAUCUUAUAUCAAAAUAUACGCCGAUGGUCUAUCCAUUAAAUAAUCUUUUACUUAAUAGCAAACCAUGAUCACGACAGUGACAACACAACACCUACUGACAAGGCAAUCAAGAUUCUUUCCUUGGUAAGGUCUCCACUUACAAAUUCAAUGGCUUGACCCAAAAAGAUAUCUUAAACCUGGUAUGCAUACCCACAAGCCUAUCAAUGGACCAACAUCGAUAUUGAACACCAAACCUACAUCCUCCAAUAUCUAGAAAUACAAUCCAUAAAUUAAUCUCAUAAUCCACAUUACAUUUCACAAACCAAUCAUAUAACCUUUGUAAUUCAAUUCAUCUGAAAUUAAUAGUUUUUUUGUAAAGCAUUUACAUAUUAUUUCAUAAACCGAAUUCACAAAUUGAUAUGUACAACCUUUUGUAAUGUUUUUUCAUAAAAUGCUUCUUCAAUUAUCUUAUAACUCAUUCCAUAAAACAAUUCGCAAAGCUAUACAUAUAUAUUAUUUCACAAUACCUUUCAUAAAACCACUCUCGAAUCAUUCUCAAAUAUUAAAAGGUGGUAAUUGUCUAAUCUAGACUUUUAAACAAUAAACAUGCUUGAUUACUCGUAAGAUACUUAAAUAUUUAUCUCUUUCAAGACAUGAGUUUACAAAUCCAUAAAAGAGAUAGCAUUACUCAUUUGGAUGUGCCCUUAACCAAAUAACAAGGCACAAUCAAAUUAACGAACUCUCAAUCCUAUCAUAUAAGCAAGAAAUAACAUCAAAACUAAGUGAAACACUAUAUCAAUUAUGGCACGGCUAAACUAAGCCUAAAUGCCAAUAAAAUAACUCUCACGCAUCAACAAAUUGCUUACUUGAAGCAAUUAUUCAAAUCUAAAUGUAAUGUAAAACUUGCUCACAAACUCUAAAAUUUCGUUUCGACAAAACCAUUGCUUCNNNNNNNNNNNNNNNNNNNNNNNNNNNNNNNNNNNNNNNNNNNNNNNNNNNNNNNNNNNNNNNNNNNNNNNNNNNNNNNNNNNNNNNNNNNNNNNNNNNNAAAAAUUGGAUUAUACAAGCUCAAGUUCCCAAAAUUCCGAUUUCAAGCCCUAAACUCAAAACUAUUUGUGACAUCUGAAUUUUUGUCAACGUUUUAAAUAUCCAUUUAUUUGCAAAAAUAUAAAAAUUUAUAUUAAAAAAAAGAGUAAUAAAUGAUAUAAAAAAAUGAUGAAGUCGUGUGGGCCGUUAUGUCCGGCCCACUUAGCGACUUUCAGCCCUCUAAGGGUGCAUUUGAUCAGUAUUCCCAAAGGGCUUUCAGCCUCUAAAGCCCUUUAAGAAAAUGCUGGAUCGUUUGGCAGUCAUUUUGAAAUAACUUUUAAGUGAAAGUCAGUAUUGGAAAAUCUAAAAGCCCAAUGCUAAUAGGAACUAGUUUUGAGUUUUCAAUAUUUUGCCAAAUGCUUAAACUUAUUUUUUUAUUCCAAAAUUAUCUUUACUCAUUCUUCAAAUUUUUUAUUCUGCCAUCAUUAUUAUUUUUAAAAAUACCAAAUAAUGCUAAAAAAAAUCACACACACACACACACACACACACACACACACAAAUUCUAAAACAAUUAAAUAUAUUAGGUCUUCUAAAAAUAUUAUUUAUAUAUUUGAUUUUUUUAGCAUAUGUAUUUGAUUUUUUUUAGUAUUAUUGUCAAAAUUUAUAUUUAAAAAGUUGCAUACAUUAUUUUUUUCAAUUCUAAACAAAUAAAAAUUAAAAAAUUCCAACGAAGAGUUUGCUUUUUAGCAUUAUUCUCAAAUUUAUAUUUAAAAAGUUACAUACAUUAUUUUUUCAAUUUUAAACAAAUAAAAGUUAAAAAAAUUUGAUGAAGGAUUUGAUCUUUUUUUUUUAAUUAUAUAUGUAUUUGAUUUUUUUAGCAUUAUUGUGAAAAUUUAUAUUUAAAAAGUUGCAUGCAUCAUUUUUUUUUUCAAUUUUAAGAAAAUAAAAAUUAAAAAAUUCCGAUGAAGGGUUUGGUCUUUUAAAAAAAAAAUUAUAUAUGUGUUUGAUUUUUUUUAGUAUUAUUGUCAAAAUUUAUAUUUAAAAAGUUGCAUACAUCAUUUUUUUCAAUUUUAAAAAAAUAAAAAUAAAAUAUAUAUAAUAUUAAUUAUCCAUAGAGCUUUUCAAAUGUAUUUUCUACCAAAUAGCAUUUCUCUCAAAGACACUUCUCAAAGCAUAAUUUAUCAAACGACUUUUGUAUUUGCCUAAAGUGCUUUAAGCUAAACUGUUUUGUAUUUUCCUAAUAAGCUUUCAAAAUGUUGAACCAAACGCAUCCCAAGCCUGUUCGCCUCUCUUAUCUUUAUUUCUUUCUUGGAAAAAAGUCUUAAAUGGUCCCUAGAUUUCUACUUCAUGUGUAAUCUCGUCUCUGAGCUUUCAAUUUGCUCAAUUUGCUCAUUGAACUAUCGAUAAAUGUCUGAUCUAGUCUCAACUAUUUGAAAAUUGACAAAUUUCGCCAUUUCGUUAGUUAAAGUUAAUAGAAUUGGACAUUUUUGGUCUUUUUUUUUCUUUUUUUUUUCUUCUUCUCUCUUCCCUCCGCUGACCAUGGCGAAGCCAGCAGAGGGAAGAGAGAAGAAGAAAAAAGAAGAAGAAAAAGACCAAAAUGCCCAAUUCUGUUAACUUUAACUAAUGGAAUGACGAAAUUGGUCAAUUUUUAAAUAGUUUGGAUUAGAUUUGAUAUUUAUUGAUAGUUUAGGGACCAAAUUGAGCAAAUCGAAAACUCAGGGAUGAGAUUACACAUUAAGUAGAAGUCCACCAUUUGUGACAUUUUCCCUUCAUUUAUAUACGUUUAUAAUGAUAUGCCAUUUAUAUUUAAAAAAUGUACAUGAUAUGAUGUGAAUAUAUCUAACUUUAAUACUGUGACUCAUCAAACAAUGAAUAUGAUAUAAAAGAAUCUCAAAAUUUUAUAUCCUAUCCUAUCUAAUCCUAUCUCGAUUAGAAAUCCGGACGACCAAAUAUAGCUUAUGAGAGAAUGUCUUGGGAAUGUGGGGCUAAAGGAAAAGGGUAAGUGGGGUGAGUUGGAUUAAUUGGGUUGGGUUUGAUUUGGUCUCAUGGGUUGGAAUUUGAGUGGACUGCUUUAAUCUUCAUGGGCCAAUUGGGGAUCAAUUCAAAGUGGGCCUUGGUGCAUUUUUUGCCCAGCCCGCAUCGAUAGGGUCCAAGUUGGUUUGGUUGGGUUGGGUCUCCUAGCCCGGUCCGAAUUUCUUUUAUAUUAAUAUUAAAAAUACUAAUAUUAAUAAAUAAAUUAAAUAAAUUUUAAAAUUCGGAAAAACGUUAAAAUAUUUGAAAAAUAAAGAAUUCAUGAAAAUUUAUAAAAUUCCGAAAACUAUUAAACGAAUUUAGAAAAUUUAUAAAAUCAUUAAAAAUCAGAAAAUCCAUAAAAUAACAGAAAAUUAGAAAAAUCAUUAAAAAUUCAGAAAAUCCUAAGGAAAAAAAUCAGAAAUUUUAGAAAAAAAGGAAAAUCCUUUAAAAGUAUUAAAACCCAAAAUUUAGACAAGCCUUUAGAGCUUUACAAUAGGAUUCUUUAUUUUGGAUUAUCCUUUUUUCCGGAUUAUUUUAGGAUGCUUGUGUGUGUGUGUGUGUGUGUGUGUGUGUGUGUGUGUGUGUUUGUGUGUGUGUGUGUGUGUGUGAUUAUACAUGGUUGCCCUUUUCAAUAUCUUGGAUGUCAUAUUCGUUGUUUUAGAAUGGUCAGAACAAAACCUAAAAUUCUUCGAGCGUUAAUCUUAGGACUAAUGUAAUCAAGUUUUAAGUCUAGAAUCUUUAGUUGCACAAAUAAUAAGAUAUUUUCCUAGGGGUCUAGUCGACACCAAAAUUCUAGUGGCCACUUUUUAGUCAAAUUUCUUCAAAGUGAAUAAAAAUUUGAAAAUAUGCAAGGUAUGAACUUGGGAGAUCCUGUGUCAAUGAAAGGCUGUCAAUCCAAAAUUAAUAACACCUCUAAUCUAAAACUCUUUCCCAGAAGUGUAAGGGUGCGGCACUACUUUUAACUAGAUGAACAAGGGGCANNNNNNNNNNNNNNNNNNNNNNNNNNNNNNNNNNNNNNNNNNNNNNNNNNNNNNNNNNNNNNNNNNNNNNNNNNNNNNNNNNNNNNNNNNNNNNNNNNNNNNNNNNNNNNNNNNNNNNNNNNNNNNNNNNNNNNNNNNNNNNNNNNNACUACCCGCGGGCCACUCUAAGGGCGUGCAUGACAAAAUUUAUAUUUUUUCGAUAUCUUUGUUUCUCUGUUCCCCGGAAUAAGUUUGGAACAUAAAUCCGUUUGAUAACGCAAUUUGAUUUCUCUAUUUCUGAAACAGAUUUCUAUUUCAGAAAUAGAGAAAUUGAAGAAAUCAGAAGCUGGAAUGUUUAACUUCUCAGUUUCUGAAAUAGAAAUCAGAAACUAAAAUCAAACCAUAUAAAAAAAUCUUGCACUUUCUUGCUAACUUAAUUCACUCAUAAACACAACUUCACAAAUUAUUGCUAAUUUUCUUUUUCUUAUUUUGCUCGUUUUUUUUUUUGCAUUUUUUUUCAAUUUUUUUUUUUUUAUAACUUCCUCUUUAUAUAUGAAAGGAAAUUGAAUGGGUCCCCAAUUUUCAAAAACGACCAAAGUUCUUAAAUGCUUACUUAAAAACAAUGGGGCUCGUUCCUCCUAGAAAAGGUACGCGCAUGGUUAGUUGAAGAAAAUUUUUUUACGUAAUAGAUGAAUAAAAAACGUGUCUAUAAAUUUAACCUUAUUCUUUUACAAAUUCAAGAUUCUUGCAAAAUCAAAAUAAUUAAAUUGUUACACAAUCUUGAAUUUUAAUUUAAAGGCAAGACAUUCAAGAGAAUCUCUCUCUUUGCUAUGCAAGGGCCAUUAAAGGUUUAUUGAGCAAUAAUAAAGAAAUUAGGGAUGAACAACUGGAUUGAUUCAAUUCGAGAAUCAAAAUAAACCGACCUUCCCCCAAUUGGUUCCUAAUCAUAAACAUUACUUUAAGGUAGAAUUAUCAUAUAUUCCUUUACACCAUUAAUUUUAUUUUAUUGAUAAUCUUGUAUAAUACUAGUUUUUGAUAAAAUGACAAGGCUGUAUAUGCGUCAUUGAUGGCACCCAUAUUCAUGCUUCCGUAGUACCUGUCUGAACCUAUGCAAGAUAGGCUUGCAAAUGAUACAUUGACCGAGGAGGGAAACCAAAUAAAUACGCUUAGAAAAACAAUUGCUAAUAAAAUGGCAAGGGAUAAUAAUAUGCCGGAAAUUCCAUGAAAUUGUAUUUUCAACUUUUGUAAUGUAUUAGUAUUAUUUCGAUUAUUAUUUUGUAUUUGAGGAUUUCCCAUGUUGUUUUAGUAUUAUUUUGACUAUUAUUUUGUAUUUGAGGAUUUUCUAUGUUGUUAUCUAAUCAAUUUCUAUUCCUAGAAAUAGAAAUUUGAGUUGUUAUCAAACGGAUUUCUUUGCUUAGAAACUUGUCCGAGGAAUAGAAAUUAAGAAAUUGAUUUCUGGCUAGAAAUCAAUUUCUGUUUCAAAAAUUUUGUCAUGCGCAGCCCAAGUGAGAGAAUUCUCGCUUUAUGCCAUUUUCCCAUUUUUUUUAACUUUUCAACCCCUUUUUAUUUCUUUUCUUUUUUAAAUAGAAAAAGGUACCUCCUCUUUGACUUGGUCAAAGAAAAUGUCCCGCUAUUACAAGAUCUAGUUUACUUAGGAUGCGCAUGAAAACUAUUAUAUUCCAGAAAUAGUUUUGAAACAAAAAUAGAUUUUUUUAUUUUUAUUUUUAAAAGAGUUUCUAAGCAAAAAUAACUGUUUGAUAACGACACAAAAUUUCUACUCUAAAAAUAGAAAUUCGUUUGAUAACGACAUAAAAUUUAUUCUUUUUGGAUGGUGGCAGACCACCCGCGGUGGCAACUGGCGACCGGCGACAGCGACAAAUUCUCAUUUCUGUUCUAGAAAUAGAAAGUAUAAAAUUUUUACUUUUGAUUUCUACUCAAAAUCUAUUUCUGGAACAAAAAUUUAUUUCAGAAAUAGAAAAAUGAAAUAAUUUUACCAAAUGAAUUUCUAUUCCAAAAUUGUUUCUGGAAUAGAAAAAUUAUUUCUGGAACAUUUUUUUUUUAUCAUACACCCCCUUACUUUUCCUGGUCCAGCUCACGAUUUCCCAUUUUCCUCUUUCUUUGUUCCUCUUCUUCUUCCCUCUUUCUUCUUCCUUCCUGUUUAUUUUGCGGCUCGGUGAAGUCCAGCGCCUCAAAUCCAGUCGCAACCCAACGACGAUGGCCACGGGAUUUGCUUGGAUGGUUGUUUUCCAGCAAUGUCUGAGGCGGUAAAAGGUUCUUGGUGUUGGUUCAUGGCCUUUGGCAUCGCGGUCGGUGGUGGCCAUGGAUUCUUGAUGUGGUUCCAAGUGAUGGUCAUUGUGGCGGCGGCGUGACGGAUGGUGGACUGCAGCAGACGAUGAUGGCAGUCGAAACAAUCCAGGUAGUGCGAAAAAUGGAAAAUCCCACGGUGGCGGCAGCUUGUUUCUUUCAUUUACGGUGGACGCUGGUUGUGGAUGAAGGAGAAGAUGGUGAUGACGGUAUGUGAGUAUGGUGGUUCAAUGAUGAGUGGCAGCCGGCGAUGGUGACGGUGCGGUGGUGGCAUUGUGUGUUUAAUGUUUACAGAGAAGACAGACGGUGGUGAACGAUGGUGUGCUGCCAUGGGAGAAGUGGCAGCGCUUCAGCCUGUUUAGAGAGUUGACAAUCGCGUUAGGUGCAAUUUGAUCUGCACAUGGUGCGCAUAGCUGAGAUGCAGAAUUUAUCCUCAUCCAUAAAUGAAGUUUGAAGAAAGAAAAAUAUGCUUCAACACGUUUCGAUUUGGAAAAGAAAAGAAAAGAAAAUUUAAUGCAAUGACGGAGGUUUGCAGAUUGAGAACACUUUCAGAAGAAGCUUCUCAGUUUGGUUUUUCACUUCCGAACCGGUGAACGCUUUUAGCAAGAGUCUUUAUUCCAUUACAGAUAAGUACAAGGCAUGGCAAUCCAAGUGAAGAUAAGCUACAAGUGAUCCUAUAUACACAAAUUAAUCGAGAGGCUUGUAUCACCAAGGCAUGAAUCUUUUGGUGAUUUUGAAGGCUGAAGAAUUGGCACUAAUCUUUGCGUGGUUGCUUGUUGAUCCAGCCGAUGGAGUAGCUGAAAUUGAUAUCUCUCUGGCUGGUUCAGUCUCCUCCCUGUGCUCAUUGCUUUCUCCUCUGUGACUAUAUUGUAUCACUCUAAAACCUUA
Molecule: long non-coding RNA, 24788 nt
Filed under: Eucalyptus grandis
Lineage: Eukaryota; Viridiplantae; Streptophyta; Magnoliopsida; Myrtales; Myrtaceae
Description: long non-coding RNA (EGRA_LNC004149)
Source: RNAcentral